This 262-nucleotide ribosomal RNA is filed under the name uncultured archaeon. RNAcentral describes it as "partial 16S ribosomal RNA". It matches the Rfam family "Archaeal small subunit ribosomal RNA", at positions 748 to 1009 of the family's 1478-position model. The record is from RNAcentral.
CAGCCGUAAACUAUGCUCGCUAGGUGUCAGGGACGGUGCGACCGUUUCUGGUGCCGCAGGGAAGCCGUGAAGCGAGCCACCUGGGAAGUACGGUCGCAAGGCUGAAACUUAAAGGAAUUGGCGGGGGGAGCACUACAACGGGUGGAGCCUGCGGUUUAAUUGGACUCAACGCCGGAAAACUCACCGGGGGCGACAGCAAUAUGUAGGUCAAGCUAAAGACUUUGCCGGAUUAGCUGAGAGGUGGUGCAUGGCGUAGUCGUGU